UACGUAGGGGGCAGCGUUAUCCGGAUUUACUGGGUGUAAAGGGAGCGUAGACGGCUGAGCAAGUCUGAAGUGAAAGGCGGGGGCCCAACCCCCGGACUGCUUUGGAAACUGUAUAGCUAGAGUGCAGGAGAGGUAAGUGGAAUUCCUAGUGUAGCGGUGAAAUGCGUAGAUAUUAGGAGGAACACCAGUGGCGAAGGCGGCUUACUGGACUGUAACUGACGUUGAGGCUCGAAAGCGUGGGGAGCAAACAGG
This 252-nucleotide ribosomal RNA is filed under the name uncultured bacterium. RNAcentral describes it as "partial 16S ribosomal RNA". It matches the Rfam family "Bacterial small subunit ribosomal RNA", at positions 524 to 776 of the family's 1533-position model. The record is from RNAcentral.